CCCUUAGAUGUCCGGGGCCGCACGCGCGCUACACUGAAGGAAUCAGCGUGGCUUUCUCCCUGACCCGAAAGGGUUGGGAAACCCGUUGAAUCUCCUUCGUGAUAGGGAUUGGGGCUUGAAAUUGUUCCCCAUGAACGAGGAAUUCCCAGUAAGCGCGAGUCAUAAGCUCGCGUUGAUUACGUCCCUGCCCUUUGUACACACCGCCCGUCGCACCUACCGAUUGAAUGGUUCGGUGAAGAUCUCGGACUUCGAUAUUCAUUCUUUAUUGAGUUUAUAUUGUGGGAAGUUAUCUAAACCUCAUCAUUUAGAGGAAGGUGAAGUCGUAACA
RNAcentral lists this ribosomal RNA (328 nucleotides) under uncultured eukaryote. RNAcentral describes it as "partial 18S ribosomal RNA". It matches the Rfam family "Eukaryotic small subunit ribosomal RNA", at positions 1470 to 1796 of the family's 1831-position model. The record is from RNAcentral.